UAAGGAGGUUGGAAACGUUGAUCGGAAUUACUGGGCGUAAAGCGCACGUAGGUGGUUUUGCAAGUCGGAUGUGAAAGCCCUGGGCUUAACCUGGGAAUUGCAUUCGAUACUGCUUGACUAGAGUAUGGUAGAGGGAAGUGGAAUUUACGGUGUAGCGGUGAAAUGCGUAGAUAUCGGAAGGAACACCAGUGGCGAAGGAGACUUCCGGUGCCAAUACUGACAGUAAGGUUCGAAAGCGUGGGUAGCAAACAGG
Molecule: ribosomal RNA, 253 nt
Filed under: uncultured bacterium
Lineage: Bacteria
Description: partial 16S ribosomal RNA
Rfam family: Bacterial small subunit ribosomal RNA
Source: RNAcentral